UAGUCCACGCCGUAAACGAUGAUCACUCGCUGUAAGCGAUACACAGUCUGUGGCUAAGCGAAAGUUUUAAGUGAUCCACCUGGGGAGUACGAUCGCAAGAUUGAAACUCAAAGGAAUUGACGGGGGCCCGCACAAGCGGAGGAACAUGUGGUUUAAUUCGAUGAUACGCGAGGAACCUUACCUGGACUUAAAUGUAGAUUGCAUAGCUUAGAGAUAGGCUUUUCUUCGGACUAUUUACAAGGUGCUACAUGGUUGUCGUCAGCUCGUGCCGUGAGGUGUCGGGUUAAGUCCCGUAACGAGCGCAACCCCUAUCCUUAGUUGCCAGCGCGUAAUGGCGGGGACUCUAGGGAGACUGCCGGUGACAAACCGGAGGAAGGUGGGGACGACGUCAAGUCAUCAUGGCCCUUAUGGGCUGGGCUACACACGUGCUACAAUGGGCGGUACAGAGGGCCGCGGUGAAUACGUUCCCGGGCCUUGUACACACCGCCCGU
This 491-nucleotide ribosomal RNA is filed under the name uncultured bacterium. Its description in RNAcentral is "bacterial SSU rRNA". It matches the Rfam family "Bacterial small subunit ribosomal RNA", at positions 791 to 1397 of the family's 1533-position model. The record is from RNAcentral.